This 652-nucleotide long non-coding RNA is filed under the name Mytilus galloprovincialis (Mediterranean mussel). The record is from RNAcentral. Lineage: Eukaryota; Metazoa; Mollusca; Bivalvia; Mytilida; Mytilidae.
AUUUUUACAAAAACAUUAGUCUAGAAAGAUGAUUUUCAAUAACUGCUAAAAGGCAUUGGACAUAAAUGUUACAAACAAUUUCACAAAUGAUAGAUGAAGCAAGUCAAUUUCCUGAACUAAAACAAUGAUUAUCAAGGCAGUUUUCAAAAUCUAGAUUUUUUGUCUUUGUUGUUAAAAAAACAACCCACUUUUUCAUCUAUGAUUCAAUCAUUCAAUGGUAAAAAAGUUCCCCAGACGGCUAUUACAGAACAAGUGCCAUUCCUGAUAAGUUUUUUAUGGUGUAAGUUUAAGGCAAUUCUCUAUAGAGGGGCAUAAAGGGUGGUAUCUGCAUGGAAGAACGCGAAAUAAAAUUGCUGUUUCACGAUGAGCGAGCAAUUAAAAAUUUCCUGCACAUUGAUCUUUUUACCGAUUUCACAAAACACGGUAAAUAAUGCAACUUUUUCACGGCUGCAGGUGAAAGAAAUUGGCAAAAAAAUUUCCCAAAAAAAUAACCCUUUAUGCCCUCCUCUAUAUUUUGGCUACAAUUACCUUGUUUUAUUGAUUGUUUAGAAAUUACAUACAAUUUUGUCCUCUCUUACCAAUUAAUCUGCUUGUCAGAACCAUACUUAACUACUCCUAAUAUUGAUCUGUUCUGGCUAUUCUUCAAUUCCCA